RNAcentral lists this ribosomal RNA (531 nucleotides) under Alternaria sp. R6b. Its description in RNAcentral is "eukaryotic LSU rRNA". The stretch from base 178 to 331 matches the Rfam family "5.8S ribosomal RNA". The record is from RNAcentral. Lineage: Eukaryota; Fungi; Ascomycota; Dothideomycetes; Pleosporales; Pleosporaceae.
GAGGGAUCAUUACACAAAUAUGAAGGCGGGCUGGAACCUCUCGGGGUUACAGCCUUGCUGAAUUAUUCACCCUUGUCUUUUGCGUACUUCUUGUUUCCUUGGUGGGUUCGCCCACCACUAGGACAAACAUAAACCUUUUGUAAUUGCAAUCAGCGUCAGUAACAAAUUAAUAAUUACAACUUUCAACAACGGAUCUCUUGGUUCUGGCAUCGAUGAAGAACGCAGCGAAAUGCGAUAAGUAGUGUGAAUUGCAGAAUUCAGUGAAUCAUCGAAUCUUUGAACGCACAUUGCGCCCUUUGGUAUUCCAAAGGGCAUGCCUGUUCGAGCGUCAUUUGUACCCUCAAGCUUUGCUUGGUGUUGGGCGUCUUGUCUCUAGCUUUGCUGGAGACUCGCCUUAAAGUAAUUGGCAGCCGGCCUACUGGUUUCGGAGCGCAGCACAAGUCGCACUCUCUAUCAGCAAAGGUCUAGCAUCCAUUAAGCCUUUUUUCAACUUUUGACCUCGGAUCAGGUAGGGAUACCCGCUGAACUUAA